This 292-nucleotide ribosomal RNA is filed under the name uncultured bacterium. RNAcentral describes it as "partial 16S ribosomal RNA". It matches the Rfam family "Bacterial small subunit ribosomal RNA", at positions 505 to 796 of the family's 1533-position model. The record is from RNAcentral.
GUUUCAGCAGCCGCGGUAAUACAGAGGGUGCGAGCGUUGUCCGGAAUCACUGGGCGUAAAGGGCGUGUAGGUGGCUUGGUAAGCCGCGUGUGAAAUCCCGGGGCUCAACCCCGGAACGGCACGCGGGACUGUCAGGCUAGAGCAUGGUAGAGGCGAGUGGAAUUCCUGGUGUAGCGGUGGAAUGCGUAGAGAUCAGGAAGAACACCGGUGGCGAAGGCGGCUCGCUGGGCCAUUGCUGACACUGAGGCGCGAAAGCGUGGGGAGCAAACAGGAUUAGAAACCCCUGUAGUCC